CUUCCCAUUGGCAAGAACUUAGUUUUGUAGCUACAAAGGAUGCUGUGAAAUAUUGUCUCUGGCUGAGUAGCUGUGUGCUUUGCUCAUACUCAGGAAUCCUGUUACCAGAAGCAGCAGAGGAAAAGGGACCCUAGGAGAUCAUCAGCUGGAGGACUGCAGGAUUACAGCUGCCUCAGUCCGGAUCCCAACGGCACAACUACUUCCAAAACUGUCUCCCGGUGAGGCAGCUAAGAUGCGGAGAGAAGAAAUGGGGAGUCAGGAGCUCCAGCACUGUGUGUCCAGGGUACGUAUGUAAAAAGGCAACCUAAAUUCAGAUUUAAAGCUUCUUGUUGCCCAGGAUGUGCUGGACGCAGACAUCAAGCAUGGGAGGUAGAUAUCCUCCCUGCUUUUCAGAUGAGGAAACUGCCCAUCAGAAAGUCAAGCGGCGCCCCGUGCACGCCUGGUUGGUGCCGGAGGCAGGAUGGAAAGCCUGGUCCUGCUGACUCCAGGACUUUCCUCUCCCCACAGGGGCUUGUAACAUGCCCCAAAAUCAACAAAUAAGCCAAAAAUAAAUCCAAUCUCAAAGCAAAAAUAGUCCUUCUUUUUCUAGUUUCCUCCAGUUGUGAAAGAAAAACAAGACUUGGGAGUUCCAUUUAUAAGGAUAAAAUUUCCUGUGAUUUGUGAAAAUGGUAAAAGUAUAUACAGCUGUAUAAGGUCUCACUGUGGCACCUGAGUCCGGCAUGUUUCCUUACUUGAUAUACACGUCUUCCUUUGUCCUGCACUUCACAUUUGAUCUACAAGACGUAAAUUCUUCGAGGGAUAAAAGACUUGGUGAGCACAGAAUCAAAGACCAAUAAAGGGAUUUUUUUGUUUUUUUUUAAAAUGUUCUUGCUAACAUAGAAAGGCUUACAGGUAGACCACUCAACCUGACAUGAUGCCCUGUGAGGUGUCGGGUAUAAGGUGAGCAAGUGGGCUCUGUGAAAACAACUCCAAGAUGCAGAGGAAAAGAGCUCUGGAGUGAGGUGCUGUGAACAACGCUCUUAGCAAACAGAAUUAUUUUUGAUGUUGUUUCCACCUGGCUGAUGAUUGUUUUAGAGCAAGUCUCCUGUCACGGCCUGGCACUGGAUCUGCAGAAUUCCUUAACAGACACUGGGCCAGCAGGCAGGAAGAUAUCACACACCCAGCGAAGAUACAAAACGUCCGGGGCAUUGCCAUGACUCUCAAGGUGUUGUUUAGAGUUCAUGUGAGUACUUCUAAAAAUACGAUGGGAUGGCCUUUCCGAGCUUGUUUCCUUUAGAUGCUAGACCAUCAAUCAACAGACGAGAAACAGCUAUUAGAA
RNAcentral lists this long non-coding RNA (1318 nucleotides) under Equus caballus (horse). Its description in RNAcentral is "lncRNA (ENSECAG00000054029.1)". Lineage: Eukaryota; Metazoa; Chordata; Mammalia; Perissodactyla; Equidae. The record is from RNAcentral.